CCUACGGGUGGCUGCAGUGAGGAAUAUUGGUCAAUGGGCGCGAGCCUGAACCAGCCAAGUAGCGUGAAGGAUGACUGCCCUACGGGUUGUAAACUUCGUUUAUAAGGGAAUAAAGUGAGGCAAGUGUGCCUUUUUGUAUGUACUUUAUGAAUAAGGAUCGGCUAACUCCGUGCCAUCAGCCGCGGUAAUACGGAGGAUCCGAGCGUUGUCCGGAUUUGUUGGGUUUAAAGGGAGCGUAGAUGGGUUUUUAAGUCAGUUGUGAAAGUUUGCGGCUCAACCGUAAAAUUGCAAUUGAUACUGGCAGUCUUGAGUACAGUAGAGGUAGGCGGAAUUCGAGGUGUAGCGGUGAAAUGCUUAGAUAUCACGAAGAACACCGAUUGCGAAGGCAGCUUACUAAACUGCCACUGACAUUGAUGCUCGAAAGUGUGGGUAGCAAACAGGAUUAGAUACCCCAGUAGUC
This 460-nucleotide ribosomal RNA is filed under the name uncultured bacterium. RNAcentral's name for it is "partial 16S ribosomal RNA". It matches the Rfam family "Bacterial small subunit ribosomal RNA", at positions 338 to 795 of the family's 1533-position model. The record is from RNAcentral.